This 87-nucleotide transfer RNA is filed under the name Candidatus Saccharimonadota bacterium. Its description in RNAcentral is "tRNA-Leu". It matches the Rfam family "tRNA". Rfam says of the family: Transfer RNA (tRNA) molecules are approximately 80 nucleotides in length. Their secondary structure includes four short double-helical elements and three loops (D, anti-codon, and T loops). Further hydrogen bonds mediate the characteristic L-shaped molecular structure. tRNAs have two regions of fundamental functional importance: the anti-codon, which is responsible for specific mRNA codon recognition, and the 3' end, to which the tRNAs corresponding amino acid is attached (by aminoacyl-tRNA synthetases). tRNAs cope with the degeneracy of the genetic code in two manners: having more than one tRNA (with a specific anti-codon) for a particular amino acid; and 'wobble' base-pairing, i.e. permitting non-standard base-pairing at the 3rd anti-codon position. Lineage: Bacteria; Candidatus Saccharimonadota. The record is from RNAcentral.
GCCCGAGUGGCGGAAUUGGCAGACGCGCUAGCUUCAGGUGCUAGUCUGAUUACUCAGGUGCAGGUUCAACCCCUGUCUCGGGCACCA